GAGAGAAGGAACACAAGCAGGGGGAGUGAGAGAGGGAGAAGCAGGCUCUCUGCUGAGCACGGAGCCCUAUGCGUGGCUUGAUCCCAGGACCCUGGGGAUCAUGACCUGAGCCUAAGGAAGACGCUUAACGACUGAGCCACCCAGGUGCUCCUAUGCCAUCAUUUCUUAUUUAAAUCCCCUAUUAAAUCCGUAGCGUGUCCACGGAGAUGGACCUCCUUGCAUAUAUGUCAUGCAAUCAUUGUGUCAAAGGGUAUAUGUAUUUCAAAUUUUUAUAGACAUUGCGAAAAUGUAUGUGCAGAGAGCGUUUGCAGGGAAAGAACUCUAAUCCAGCCUCUUCUUCCUCCAUCCCCAGAUUUCAAGUCCUCAGCAAGAUGAGAAGUGUGUGUGGGGGCAACAGACAUUAUAUAGUGCCCUUGCUUUGGGGGAGGCUAACAGGGGAGGGACAGAGCCACCGGUCUGACCAGGCAGCACCUCAGAAACAACCCCACAAUCAGCCUCAGUUUACCCAUCUGUAAAGUGA
Molecule: long non-coding RNA, 520 nt
Filed under: Mustela putorius furo (domestic ferret)
Lineage: Eukaryota; Metazoa; Chordata; Mammalia; Carnivora; Mustelidae
Description: lncRNA (ENSMPUG00000028387.1)
Source: RNAcentral